Molecule: long non-coding RNA, 2453 nt
Filed under: Sus scrofa (pig)
Lineage: Eukaryota; Metazoa; Chordata; Mammalia; Artiodactyla; Suidae
Description: lncRNA (ENSSSCG00025055859.1)
Source: RNAcentral
CAUGGAAGUUCCCAGCCUAGGGGUCAAAUCUGAGCUGCAGCUUGCUGGCCUACACCACAGCCACAGCAAUACCAGAUCCAAGCUGCAUCUGUGACCUAUGCCACAGCUUGCAGCAAUGCGAGAUCCUUAACCCACUGAACGAGGCCAAGGAUCGAACCCACAUCCUCAUGGAUACUGGUUGGGUUCUUAACCUGCUAAGCCACAAUGGGAAUUCCACAUGGCACACAUUUAAAAAAAGAUACACUGAUUCUAGGAAGACUUUGGAAAUGAGAAGAGCCUUAAGCCAGACCAUGUGCAUAAAGGAACCCCCAAGAUGUGUCUUUAUUGUUGUCAAGCUUGUCCCAAAAUUAUUUGUGCAACUCAAUCACAAUAAAUAUCGUUUUUAUAAACGCUCCAGUUAUAAAAAAUGUCAAGAAAGCAAAACACGUCAGCAGUGUUUUCAGCCAACUAAACCUAUCAGUCAACUUUUAAACAGAUUUUAAACAGUUUAACCAUUUCUUAUUGAAAUUAUAAGAACAGAGUCAACAAAAUCUAAUUCUUUUCUGGAUGACUCAGGGAUCCUCAUACAAAACCCCUUCAUGAGGAGACAAGGCCAGGCUGUUAGUGGCACCAGGCCAGGACAGUCCCUGGAAAUGAACCACUUUACAGCCGCACCUGUUUCUUCAUAAAACGUGCACACACCCUGUGUAGCUGGGACCACUAAGAUGGCACACUGAGAUGGGCAUUCUAUUACAUUAAUUACUAAAUUCUAGAGAGAAGCCUGUCUACUUUUUCUGAAAAUGUUUGCUGCCAGCCUUGCCAUGAUAUCCUUUUCCUUUUCAGAGGCAUUUAGAACCCUGUGCCACCUGGUGCUUGCUCCAGGCCAGACUCAGCUAAGUAGUUUAUGUGCCCGACACGGUCCAGGGCUUAGCACCCGCCCAGCCGUGGUAAUGUUCCCGUCCCCAUCUUACAGAUGAGGAAUCUGAAGCCGACAGGGCCGAAUCCCUCGCACAAGGUUAUCCAGCUGGCAGUGGGGGACCUGGCCUUUGAAUGACCAGGGUGUCCAUCCUCUGAGAUUUUGGCUAAGCUCCUGCAUCACCUGCAGUACAUCUGUGGGCAGCUGGGGGAGGGGCAUCCCUCAUCACCCGCAACCCUGUACAAGAGGACUUCCUCCUCCCUCAGAAAUUUGUCCCCACGGUGCUCAAAAUCCCCUUUUGCAUCCAAACCAAAGUUUGGUGGCUCCUCAUACUGAGGUAGGGGAAAAUCUAUAUUUACGGAUAUUUGAACUAAUCAAAGCAGCUCAAUUAUGCUGCACAACCAAGUGCAAAUUACUGUUUGUCUGCUGUGAUCAGCACCUCCCAUUUGCAUGGGGCAACUUACAAAGCCUACCUUUGAGGGCCUAAUUCUCACCAUGACUCAGGGAAACACCAUUGUUAUUAUUAUUAUUGUUAUUGUUGUUGUUGUUAUUCCUACUCAUCUUAGAUGGGAAAGAACUUGGCAGCUAUUGGACAUGGUCAAGGUCAUACUGCUGGUGUAUAUACAUUACAUAAGCAGAUAUUGUAUCUACAUAAUUAAAGUUUCAGGGGGAGGGUGGUUAAGGGAAAGAUGUCUACAAAAGCUCCUUGGUGGGGCUGUUAUUCAAACGAGUUUGAGAAAUACUACCUCAUCCCACAGUGGCCUCCCUGCCUUGGUCAGGACCAUGUUGCCUGUAAUUAAUACAUUUCUUUUUAGAAAGGACAUACACUAGGAUCUAUUUAAAAAAACACCUCUAGAAAAUAAUUAGUACAGUCGGUCUCUUUCUUAGUUUUUCUGCUGUCUCUGGGCAGCAUGAUUGAUACUGAUGAGGACAUGCCAUGAUUACUGCCCAACAGAAAGUGGCAAAGACAUAAAAAAGGGUACCACUACCUUAAGAGAACACCUUAAACACACUCAAACACACACACACACACACACAAACCAUUUGCUACCUAUCCAAGGGAAAACAUCAAAGGAAAAAAUAAAUCUAUUCAUAUAAUACAUUUGCUACUAGAAGAGAUGUGAUUUCCUUUAUGCCAAACUCAAAGACCUCUGUGAAACAUGAGAAGCCUUUUGAAUAAAUACUCCUAAAUGGCCUAGACAGCUGAAAAAUGGUAACCUCCUACUAUAUUAGGGCUCUUUAAAAGAUUUUCCCCUCCUUAAAUAUUCAUGUUUCAAUUAAAAUGUACACCUCCUUUAUUAAGCACACCAGGCCCCGGGUUCAGAUCAAUAACAGCAGCACUAGAUGGAAUUCUAAUGAAGAUAAACAACGCCGAGUCCUCCCCAGCUUCCCCUGGGCACGGAUGCACAAAGCCUCCUUUCACAACUUGCUCCAAGAUAUUUUACAGUCACCUGCCUCAUGCAAAUGAGGAGAUUCAUGUUUAUUCAUGGUGAGAGUUACAGACCACCUUUCAUUCCCUAGGCCAGCUCAGCUAACCAACAGAGUGCUGUCUGCACCA